RNAcentral lists this ribosomal RNA (254 nucleotides) under uncultured bacterium. RNAcentral describes it as "partial 16S ribosomal RNA". It matches the Rfam family "Bacterial small subunit ribosomal RNA", at positions 524 to 776 of the family's 1533-position model. The record is from RNAcentral.
UACGAAGGGGGCUAGCGUUGCUCGGAAUCACUGGGCGUAAAGGGUGCGUAGGCGGGUCUUUUAAGUCAGGGGUGAAAUCCUGGAGCUCAACUCCAGAACUGCCUUUGAUAUGAAGAUCUUGAGUUUCGGGAGAGGUGAGUGGAACUGCGAGUGUAGAGGUGAAAUUCGUAGAUAUUCGCAAGAACACCAGUGGCGAAGGCGGCUCACUGGCCCGAUACUGACGCUGAUGCACGAAAGCGUGGGGAGCAAACAGG